GGAUAUGAAGUAAUUAUAAAACAUAAAUACAAGAAUUAUCGGAUAGAUCGUGAAGGAGGAACCCAACUAAGUACAAAUUAUACAGGAAUGAGAUGCCCCAACUCUCCAGUGCAUCACUCUGAAUUAAUUGACUUCAUGGAGAGUACUAGUUUAUAUCCCUAAAACCCCACAUUGCUAAAUGCUAAAUAAUACUGUGGUUUUUGAGCAACGAAACGGAGAAGAGUUAAUAAUAGUAUGGACAAGUCACCGAGAUUUGUUCUGAAAUGGAAGUAUUUGGGGGGAGGGGGACCAGAGGACGAACAACAUUGAUGGCGCCAUGUUAGGGUGAUGGAAAAUCAAAGAAUUGGAUGCCAUCUUCCCAAUCACUGUAUGUAAUCAUGGUCGGAUGUCGUAAAGAAGCGAUAAUCAGGUCAUUCCAACAAAAACUUUUUACACAAUAACGCAGCAGGAAAUAUCUACGACCAUAGUCUUCUGCUUCUUUCGGGUCUUUAGUCUCGAUCUGUAUGAUAACAUGCACGAACAACUUCUACCACCCAAAACGAGAUAAAUGCUUUAAACAUACGUAAAAUUCUGUCCUCCAUUUCUAGUAUUGUACUUCUCAUCUGUAAGUAUCCUAUACAUGCACGAAUCAAAGUUGCAGGCUGAUCAUGGUUUGAUCAUUAGUUGUGGUAGGGCUUUGAUCAAAGCAACUCAACCUGUUUUAAUAGCUUAAGUAUAACAAUUCCUGUAUUCCACCCU
Gossypium arboreum is the source of this 738-nucleotide long non-coding RNA. RefSeq lists it as uncharacterized. The transcript has 2 exons. Lineage: Eukaryota; Viridiplantae; Streptophyta; Magnoliopsida; Malvales; Malvaceae. The record is from RefSeq and is a predicted model, not a curated record.